AAAAGCCUGCCACCGGGCAGGAAUGCGCAAGGCAUUCGUAUACACAUCGUUAGGUCUUUGAAGAUGUGUACGCGGAUGCCUUUUUUGG
This 88-nucleotide non-coding RNA is filed under the name unclassified sequences. The record is from RNAcentral.